CCGCCUUUGUUCCCUCUUCUCCCUGAGGCUUCUUGGCACUGCCGGCAGCCAUGUUGCCCCGCUCUGGCUUUGUGAGAGGCAAGUCCCAGAGAGCCCUGGGGACAGCCUGUGCUCCUAGCCCGCCUACCUGCCCACCCCAGGCUACAGCCCGGUGAACGGAACUGUGAUGCAUGAAAUGAGGGGGGAAAGACCGGUGAGGUCAUGCUGGCCUUGUUAACUGUUGGCAAAAAAGCAGGCAACAGAAAGGGGAAUGUCAGAUUUCACCUGUGAAUUAAUUUACUUCGUGCAGUGCUUGGAUUAAGCUGGCAGAACAUGAGAACCACAUCAGCAUGAUCAAAGGCAGGCAAGGAUAAAACAUGUGAUGACCCCAACUUUCUAUGGCUUCCCCCCAACACAACUUGGGUGGCAGGACAUAGUGUCAAAUUGCCACCAUGUAUUUUAAGAAAGGACUCAUAUCUUUUGUUAAAGAGUCUGUAUCGAAACAUAAACAAACAAAAACCAGGCACCCCAUAAUUAGGUGCGUAAUUAUAGCCUUGAUGUUCAGGUGACUUGCCUGGCCAGAGCACCUUAGGAGAAAGGAUUGACCUUUAUGUUUUUGUGGUUCUGUCACAGAAUGUGGUGAUGCUCUUCUAUCUUUAUUUGCUGCAAAGGACCAUAGCAGGAUUUGUUGUCUGCUUGAAGGUUGAGCUGGCCUGAACUACAUACAUAGUAUUAUAAUUGGGCAGCCUCAGUUACUUUGAUAAUUAUAAGAUUCUAUUUUCAGUGUGCAAUUUUUCAUUGGUUUUUACCCAGUACUUGCAUGAUAGGCAUUAUUCUCCCUAGUUUGUAAAUGUUAUAGGCUAAAUUGUCCCUCAUCCCAAAUUAAUGUUAAUGUCCUAACCCCUAGUACCUCAGAAUGUGACUGUAUUUAGAGGUAGAGUCUUUGAAGAGUUAAUUAAAUUAAAAUAAAGUCUUUAGUGGGGGCUGUAAUUCAAUCUGGCUGGUGUUUUUAUUAGAAAAGGAAAUUAGGACACAGAAAGGUACAGACAGAAGACCAUGCAGGGAGAAGAUAGCCAUUGCAGGGGCCAAGGACUUGGCCCUCUGAAGGCUUGCUGAAAAAUCAACGUGUGAAAAGCAG
Molecule: long non-coding RNA, 1117 nt
Filed under: Homo sapiens (human)
Lineage: Eukaryota; Metazoa; Chordata; Mammalia; Primates; Hominidae
Description: HSALNT0032106
Source: RNAcentral